Molecule: ribosomal RNA, 559 nt
Filed under: uncultured bacterium
Lineage: Bacteria
Description: bacterial SSU rRNA
Rfam family: Bacterial small subunit ribosomal RNA
Source: RNAcentral
AGGAAUCUGCCUGGUAGUGGGGGACAACGUUUCGAAAGGGACGCUAAUACCGCAUACGUCCUACGGGAGAAAGCAGGGGACCUUCGGGCCUUGCGCUAUCAGAUGAGCCUAGGUCGGAUUAGCUAGUUGGUGGGGUAAUGGCUCACCAAGGCGACGAUCCGUAACUGGUCUGAGAGGAUGAUCAGUCACACUGGAACUGAGACACGGUCCAGACUCCUACGGGAGGCAGCAGUGGGGAAUAUUGGACAAUGGGCGAAAGCCUGAUCCAGCCAUGCCGCGUGUGUGAAGAAGGUCUUCGGAUUGUAAAGCACUUUAAGUUGGGAGGAAGGGCAGUAAGCGAAUACCUUGCUGUUUUGACGUUACCGACAGAAUAAGCACCGGCUAACUCUGUGCCAGCAGCCGCGGUAAUACAGAGGGUGCAAGCGUUAAUCGGAAUUACUGGGCGUAAAGCGCGCGUAGGUGGUUUGUUAAGUUGGAUGUGAAAGCCCCGGGCUCAACCUGGGAACUGCAUCCAAAACUGGCAAGCUAGAGUACAGUAGAGGGUGGUGGAAUUUCCUGU